Ailuropoda melanoleuca (giant panda) is the source of this 2029-nucleotide long non-coding RNA. RefSeq lists it as uncharacterized. The record is from RefSeq and is a predicted model, not a curated record. The transcript has 3 exons. NCBI's taxonomy places the organism in Eukaryota, Metazoa, Chordata, Mammalia, Carnivora, Ursidae.
GUUCCACUGCACGUGCGCGCACGCAGUCAGCUGCCCCAGCGCCGGCAGGGGCGUCCGCAGCCGCGCCGCCCUGUCCGCUGUCCGCUCCCCGAACACCAGUGCGGCCGUGGUGAGCGCGCCUGCGGGGACACGCGGGCCGGGGCCUCAGUGACCCCAGCUGCGCACAGCCUGCGCAGAGGCCAGUGCACCAGGUGGACCACUGAUUGGCAGAGCUGGGGGUAGGGGGAGCCCCUCUGGGGCCCUCAUACCAACCUGUCACCCAGGAGCUCCUUGAUUCAGCUGUUUUGUUCCAGAUAUUCUUCGAGGCUGCUCUGGCUCUCUCUCUUCCGGGCAGUGACCCCCAGCUUGGUGUGGAGGAGUCUGGACCUGAGACAGAGGGCUGCUUUCCGGUCCCGUGUGAAGGUGGCGGUAGGUGGAGCUCGAGGCUCGUGGCAGAGCGGGCCGGGGUGCUGGGCUCUUCACCUGGUCCUGGCAGGCGGCCGGGCACGGGGGAGGCUCAGCAUCAGCGGCUGUGACUCGAGGUAAAAAUAAUCAGGGAAGGACAGCUGCUUCCUUGUCAGCAACCAAGAGGGAAAUAAAGCUCAUGUCCCCUCCAGCGAAAACCUGCUCUCCAGGUCCCCUGGCUCCUGCCACCAACUGCUCGACGUCUGCGUGCCAAUCCAAUUUGAACGCCUGCGAGUCACCCCAGAGAGGGCUUAUUUUAACUUCAUCAAGCGCAGAGAAAAACAUCCAGACUGGAGUAAAUGGGAUGAAGGAACAGCUGCUCGGGGGCCCAGGCUGGGAAUGGGGUCCAGGACUUCUGCCCCUCCUGUGGUUGGACUUGGGGAUCCCCUCCUCCUAAUCGGGUUCAACAAUCACCCAUGUGGUUAAUGGAGCCAAGGCUCAGUGAACGUCUAGUGGGCGUUCCCUGAAAUCAAGGGGGUAAGUUAACAACUUGGCCCCGCUCCGAAGUUCUUCUCUGAUGUCCUCAGCCUCCUCUCCUGUUCUGUCUUCUCCAGCGCCCUCUCUGGGGCUGUGCCUGGCUUUUCGUGAAGGCCCAGACUUGCGUUCUCUCACACUUCAUGCCUUUGCAUGCCACGCCUUCCACCCGAGCUGCCUUUCCUGUUUCUUCGCCUGGUGGGUGUCUGCAAGUCCGCAAGUCCGAGAGAGUUCCCAGGCAUUCCUCAAGACCCAGCUCAGUGUCACAGGCUGCUUCCCCACCCCUCCGGGCAGAUGGAGUUGUUCUCUGUGGGGUCCUGCAGGAUUUUGUUCGUCCUUCUGUUUUAACAAGGAACUGGGGUGUCUCCCCACCUUCCUUCCUUUCUUCUUCUUCUCUCUGCUUCCCUUGUUUCCAACAACCACACUGAGCCUCUCCUCUCCACCAGGCCAUGUGCUGACUGUUUGGGGCAGAUGCGAAUCCCUGCCCUCACGUGGCGUCCGUGUGGACGGUUGUCAGAGUGAUGAGAGGUGAUUCGUGGGCUGUGGGGACAGGCCAGCAACACGGCUGCCCAGAAACAGCUGCCUCCAGAUGACAAAGUGAAGAAUCGCGUUUGUUUGUGUCUCUUUUUUUCCUCCUUUGUUGUGUUUUUUUUUUUUUAAUCAAGGGGUGAGGACAAGAGACAUUCUGACUUCCACUCCAAUUCCUGGAGACUCACAGUUUUAGUGUAUUCAUUUCUCUAAAUUUUAAAUGGUAAUACAUAUCAAAUAAACCGUAAAUUAAAUAAAAAAUAAAAAUUGAGCUAAUAAGAAAAAUCAUUUUAAAGUUAAGGUUUACUUUUUCCUGGCUCAGUCUCUAAGGCCUACCUCCCCAGGGGGGCGUUUAUUCAGCCUGGUGGUUAGGUUAGGUUAGGGGCAGAGUGUCCUGGGCUCCACCAGGGUGAAGAGCCUGCGUCCUGCUCCCUCCCUGUUCUGGGCCUGAUGAUCUGUGACCGCUGUGGCCAAGCCUGGGGGGAGUCAGUCGUGCAGGGACAGGGCUCUGGGCUGGAGAGAGGGGGUCUGUUUUUGCAUGUUUGGUAAUUUGGAAUAUCUGAAAGAUCAAUUGUUUUUUAGG